This 67-nucleotide transfer RNA is filed under the name Xixuthrus sp. ANIC_25-067096. RNAcentral's name for it is "tRNA-Ile". Lineage: Eukaryota; Metazoa; Arthropoda; Insecta; Coleoptera; Cerambycidae. The record is from RNAcentral.
AGAGAAGUGCCUGAAAAAGGAUAAUCUUGAUAGGGUUAAUUAUGCAAGACUAAGCUUGCCCUCUCUA